Molecule: ribosomal RNA, 469 nt
Filed under: uncultured bacterium
Lineage: Bacteria
Description: partial 16S ribosomal RNA
Rfam family: Bacterial small subunit ribosomal RNA
Source: RNAcentral
GACGAACGCUGGCGGCGUGCUUAACACAUGCAAGUCGAACGGAAAGGCCCUGCUUGCAGGGUGCUCGAGUGGCGAACGGGUGAGUAACACUUGGGUGAUCUGCCCCUUACUUUGGGAUAAGCCUGGGAAACUGGGUCUAAUACUGGAUAGGACCAUGCUGUAGGUGGUGUGGUGGAAAGAUUAGUUUCGGUAAGGGGUGAGCUCGCGGCCUAUCAGCUUGUUGGUGGGGUAAUGGCCUACCAAGGCGUCGACGGGUAGCCGGCCUGAGAGGGUGGACGGCCACAUUGGGACUGAGAUACGGCGCAGACGCCUACGGGAGGCAGCAGUGGGGGAUAGUGCACAAUGGGCGCAAGCCUGAUGCAGCGACGCCGCGUGGGGGGUGACGGCCUUCGGGUUGUAAACUCCUUUCAGCCAUGACGAAGCCCUUGUGGUGACGGUAGUGGUAGAAGAAGCACCGGCUAACUACGUG